Molecule: long non-coding RNA, 643 nt
Filed under: Bemisia tabaci
Lineage: Eukaryota; Metazoa; Arthropoda; Insecta; Hemiptera; Aleyrodidae
Description: lncRNA ENSSSA1NGG010560
Source: RNAcentral
CAAGUCUGCUGUAAUUCUCUGGGAAGAUAUUCAAGAAACGCUUCAUGCCUUCAGAUGUAUAGGACUUGCGGCAAAUCUUAUCUCAAAUUGUUUCUAUUCUGAACUAUGUGAUUUUUAACUUGUAUAUCAAGUGUUAGCUCUAUCGAACGUCCUCACAAGGUCCUCAGUGUUUUUACAGGGGUAUAAGCAAGUUAAGACAACUACUGUCCCCAUCCCAUCAGUGGUCCUAUCAGCAUAACCCUAGAACCGUCAGGAGGGGGAAGACCGAGGCCUGCUCUGUGUUCAACAACGCGCUAACAGGUUCAGACGCCAACUACAACCCUUCACUCCUCCAACCUGAGGAGCUAGCGUUUCUCCCUGCAGAGUUCCCAGCUGAUCCAGGCCAAUCAGACAGUUCUUUCCGCAGGUAUGCAAGGGUGCCAGUCAACAUUCUGCCCGUCUGAAAAUACACUAACAAGGUGCUCCGAGAGGAUCCCUACCAGACAAAAUUCAGAAUUCUGAAAAAGGUAUUAGUGCAACUGUAAGCAGCUAUGACAAUAGAUACCCUAACUCAAAAGUAAUUUUCCAAAAGGCAUUUGAGUAUGUACCUGGAUUCGUUAAAUGAUCAAUAUAAUUUGUGAUUAGUUAAGUCAAUCAUAUACUA